UAGAGUUUGAUCCUGGCUCAGGAUGAACGCUGGCGGUAUGCUUAACACAUGCAAGUCGAACGGUACCUUCGGGUAUAGUGGCUUGACGGGUGAGUAACGCGUGAGAAUCUAUCUUCAGGUCGGGGACAACAGUUAGAAAUGACUGCUAAUACCGGAUGUGCCGAAAGGUGAAAGAUUAAUUGCCUGAAAUUGAGCUCGCGUCAGAUUAGCUAGUAGGUGGUGUAAUGGACUACCUAGGCAUCGAUCUGUAGCUGGUCUGAGAGGACGAUCAGCCACACUGGAACUGAGACACGGUCCAGACUCCUACGGGAGGCAGCAGUGGGGAAUUUUCCGCAAUGGGCGAAAGCCUGACGGAGCAAUACCGCGUGAGGGACGAAGGCUUUUGGGUCGUAAACCUCUUUUCUCAAGGAAGAUAGUGACGGUACUUGAGGAAUAAGCAUCGGCUAACUCUGUGCCAGCAGCCGCGGUAAUACAGAGGAUGCAAGCGUUAUCCGGAAUGAUUGGGCGUAAAGCGUCCGCAGGUGGUUUUGUAAGUCUGCUGUUAAAGCGUGUGGCUCAACCACAUACAGGCAGUGGAAACUAUAAGACUAGAGUAUGUUAGGGGUAGAGGGAAUUCCCAGUGUAGCGGUGAAAUGCGUAGAGAUUGGGAAGAACACCGGUGGCGAAAGCGCUCUGCUAGGGCAAUACUGACACUGAGGGACGAAAGCUAGGGGAGCGAAUGGGAUUAGAUACCCCAGUAGUCCUAGCCGUAAACGAUGGAUACUAGGCGUUGCCCGUAUCGACCCGGGCAUUGUCGUAGCUAACGCGUUAAGUAUUCCGCCUGGGGAGUACGCACGCAAGUGUGAAACUCAAAGGAAUUGACGGGGGCCCGCACAAGCGGUGGAGUAUGUGGUUUAAUUCGAUGCAACGCGAAGAACCUUACCAGGACUUGACAUGUCGCGAACCCUGCUGAAAGGUGGGGGUGCCUUCGGGAGCGCGAACACAGGUGGUGCAUGGCUGUCGUCAGCUCGUGUCGUGAGAUGUUGGGUUAAGUCCCGCAACGAGCGCAACCCUCGUUUUUAGUUGCCAUCAUUAAGUUGGGCACUCUAGAGAGACUGCCGGUGACAAACCGGAGGAAGGUGGGGAUGACGUCAAGUCAGCAUGCCUCUUACGUCCUGGCUACACACGUACUACAUGCUACGAACAAAGGGCAGCUAGUUAGCAAUAACAUGCAAAUCUCAGAAAUCGUAGCUCAGUCAGGUGAGGCUGCUACACGCCUUCAUGAAGUCGAAUCGCUAGUAUGCAGGUCAGCAUACUGCAUGGAUCGUUUCCGGGCCUGUACUACCGCCGUCAACAUGAGC
Molecule: ribosomal RNA, 1340 nt
Filed under: Calothrix sp. PCC 7103
Lineage: Bacteria; Bacillati; Cyanobacteriota; Cyanophyceae; Nostocales; Calotrichaceae
Description: bacterial SSU rRNA
Rfam family: Bacterial small subunit ribosomal RNA
Source: RNAcentral